This 71-nucleotide transfer RNA is filed under the name Bacillus glycinifermentans. RNAcentral describes it as "tRNA-OTHER". It matches the Rfam family "tRNA". Rfam says of the family: Transfer RNA (tRNA) molecules are approximately 80 nucleotides in length. Their secondary structure includes four short double-helical elements and three loops (D, anti-codon, and T loops). Lineage: Bacteria; Bacillati; Bacillota; Bacilli; Caryophanales; Bacillaceae. The record is from RNAcentral.
UGGGCUAUAGCCAAGCGGUAAGGCAACGGACUUUACUCCGUCAUGCGCUGGUUCGAAUCCAGCUAGCCCAG